This 714-nucleotide long non-coding RNA is filed under the name Mytilus galloprovincialis (Mediterranean mussel). The record is from RNAcentral. Lineage: Eukaryota; Metazoa; Mollusca; Bivalvia; Mytilida; Mytilidae.
CUGCUACUAGAUUACUAUUUUUCUUUGAUUUGCACUGAAGUGUACAGGAAAACAAAAUAUCAAAUAUAUCAAAACAAGAAUGUGUCCAAAGUACAUGGAUGCCCCACUCGCACUAUCCUUUUCCAUGUUCCAUGGACCGUGAAAUUGGGUAAUAAUCUAAUUUGGUAUUAAAAUUAGAAAGAUUAUACUAUAGGGAACAUAUGUGCUAAGUUUCAAGUUGAUUGGACUUCAAUUUUAUCAAAAACUACCUUGACCAAAAACUUUAACCUGAAACUCCCACUUUCAUUUUCUAUGUUUAGUGGACCGUGAAAUUGGGGUCAAAAGUCUAAUUUGGCUUCAAAAUUAAAAAGAUUAUAUCAUAAGCAACAAGUUUACUAAGUUUCAAGUUGAUUGGACUUCAGCUUCACCAAAAACUACCUUGACCAAAAACUUUAACCUGAAACUCCCACUUUCAUUUUCUAUGUUCAGUGGACCAUGAAAUUGGGGUCAAAAGUCUCAUUUGGCUUUAAAAUUAGAAAGAUCAUAUCAUAAGCAACAAGUCUACUAAGUUUCAAGUUGAUUGGACUUCAGCUUCAUCAAAAACUACCUUGACCAAAAACUUUAACCUGAACGGACGGACGGACGGACGCACAGACGGACGCACAGACGAACGGAGCCACAGACCAGAAAACAUAAUGCCCCUCUACUAUCGUAGGUGGGGCAUAACAACUGAAA